UACAGAGGUCUCAAGCGUUGUUCGGAUUCAUUGGGCGUAAAGGGUGUGUAGGUGGCGCGCUAAGUCGGGUGUGAAAUUUCGGAGCUUAACUCCGAAACUGCAUUCGAUACUGGCGUGCUUGAGGACUGGAGAGGAGACUGGAAUUCAUGGUGUAGCAGUGAAAUGCGUAGAGAUCAUGAGGAAGACCAGUGGCGAAGGCGGGUCUCUGGGCCGAUAUUGACGCUGAGGAGCGAAAGCGUGGGGAGCGAACAGG
RNAcentral lists this ribosomal RNA (253 nucleotides) under uncultured bacterium. RNAcentral describes it as "partial 16S ribosomal RNA". It matches the Rfam family "Bacterial small subunit ribosomal RNA", at positions 524 to 776 of the family's 1533-position model. The record is from RNAcentral.